This is a long non-coding RNA of Xenia sp. Carnegie-2017, 96 nucleotides long. RefSeq lists it as uncharacterized. The transcript has 2 exons. Lineage: Eukaryota; Metazoa; Cnidaria; Anthozoa; Malacalcyonacea; Xeniidae. The record is from RefSeq and is a predicted model, not a curated record.
CCGUUGAAAAUGCAUUGUGGUCAAUGAUGUCCCUCCCUCAAUUCCAGCAGCUACCAGUGUGCCAUUCAGCUGUCAGUCAAAAGUGGCAGUUUCAAA